Long non-coding RNA from Oncorhynchus tshawytscha (Chinook salmon), 1104 nucleotides. RefSeq lists it as uncharacterized. The transcript has 6 exons. Lineage: Eukaryota; Metazoa; Chordata; Actinopteri; Salmoniformes; Salmonidae. The record is from RefSeq and is a predicted model, not a curated record.
CCUUGUUCAAAUGACUAACAUAAUCAACAAAUGGUGAUUUGAGUGCAAUAGCAUAAAUCGCACGUAUCUCUUUUUUACUUGUCGUGCAAGUUGAGUGGUGUCUAAGGAGCAGGUACUGGAAGCAGGAGAAAAAGAAGGAGGAGGAGCUGCUAGGAGAUCUGGAGCUCCUCCAAGAGGACUCUGAGCAGGUAAACUGAACUAGGCUGCAGGGCAGGCAGAUGGAUGGGGCUGCACAGUCCUCAACAAACAGGAAAGGAUUUCUCUUAUGCUGAAUUGUUUGAAUGCAUACGUGUCAUUUUGAUUAUGUUAAUCUCCCUAGUGGCAUUACUGUAUAAUGGAGAUCCCUAUACAUUGUGUUUGUGUGUCUGUGUAUGUGUUUGUGUGUGCACAUGCCUGUAUGUGUGUGAAUGCCUGCAUGUGUGUAUGUGUGUGAGUUUGUGUGUGUGCACUGUAGGCCCAUUGGGCGGACACAGAGAGGCAGAUGAGGGUGGCUGCAGCAGAGCUUCAGGAGGCUGGCCAGUCAGAAGCCCAGAGGAGUGUCCCCCAGCUCUCAGACCUGUCUCUGCUCCUGCCACCUCAUGUUUUGCUUAUCGUCACUCAAGGUGAUGAUAAGGAGUGGGAGCAGCAGUGCUGUUGGCAGACAGAGCUGGUGGCUGGCCUGGGCAGGGUGAACGUGUGCGUGGAGAAACUGCAGCAGGGCCAGGACAGAUCGACAGCACAGAGAGGAGAGCAGACGGCAUCAAUCCAUGUCAUGGCUCUCUUGUAUGGAAAGGAAAGUGAGACAGAGAAAUAUGGGAGCAGCUAAACUCCAGGCAGAAAUACUCUGGCAGGUCCAUGCAGAUAUAGCGCAGGAAUCUCCACCCAGUCUCUGAGAGACCCAAUGAAGGCUCUGCCUCAGGACCAGGAUUCUAAGAGCCCCAGUGUCCCCCAGCCCAGUCAAGAGGGCGAGCCUAUGAAAAAAUCUGUUCAGCCGUCACAUGUCUGUGUCCCCACACUGUCAGAGGAGGAGUGGGAUAAACUGCUGGAGCUUUCCCCACUCUUUCACCUGGGUGAAAGGGUGUGGAGAGGAAGCUGAGUGGCCUGGUGCGAGAUGCAGGACUUCUG